CCUACGGGAGGCAGCAGUGGGGAAUAUUGCACAAUGGGCGAAAGCCUGAUGCAGCGACGCCGCGUGAGCGAAGAAGGCCUUCGGGUCGUAAAGCUCUUUCCUAUGGGAAGAAAGAUGACGGUACCAUAGGAGGAAGCCCCGGCUAACUAAGUGCCAGCAGCCGCGGUAACACGUGGGGGGCGAGGGUUGUCGGGAAUGACUGGGCGUAAAGGGUACGUAGGCGGCUAGAUAAGUCGGAGGUAAAGGGCAGAGGCUUAACCUGGGUAAGCCUUUGCAACUGUCAGGCUUGAGUCAAGGAGAGGAAAGCGGAAUUCCUGGUGUAGCGGUGGAAUGCGUAGAGAUCAGGAGGAAUACCAGUGGCGAAGGCGACUUUCUGGACUUUGACUGACGCUGAGGUACGAAAGCGUGGGGAGCAAACAGGAUUAGAUACCCUAGUAGUC
RNAcentral lists this ribosomal RNA (440 nucleotides) under uncultured bacterium. RNAcentral's name for it is "bacterial SSU rRNA". It matches the Rfam family "Bacterial small subunit ribosomal RNA", at positions 338 to 795 of the family's 1533-position model. The record is from RNAcentral.